RNAcentral lists this ribosomal RNA (433 nucleotides) under uncultured bacterium. RNAcentral's name for it is "partial 16S ribosomal RNA". It matches the Rfam family "Bacterial small subunit ribosomal RNA", at positions 29 to 507 of the family's 1533-position model. The record is from RNAcentral.
AACGAACGCUGGCGGCAUGCCUAACACAUGCAAGUCGAACGAAGGCUUCGGCCUUAGUGGCGCACGGGUGCGUAACGCGUGGGAAUCUGCCCUUUGCUUCGGCAUAACAGUUAGAAAUGCCUGCUAAUACCGGAUGAUGUCGCAAGACCAAAGAUUUAUUGGCAAAGGAUGAGCCGGCGUAGGCUUAGCUAGUUGGUGGGGUAAAGGCCUCCCAAGGCGACGAUCCUUAGCUGGGCUGAGAGGAAGAGCAGCCACACUGGGACUGAGACACGGCCCAGACUCCUACGGGAGGCAGCAGUGGGGAAUAUAGGACAACGGGCUGAAGCCUGAACGAGCAAGGCCGGGAGAGCGAUGAAGGCCGGAGGGUUGUAAAGUUAGUUUACCCGGGAUUAUAAUGACAGUACCGGGAGAAUAAGCACCGGCUAACUCCGUG